Molecule: long non-coding RNA, 2404 nt
Organism: Boleophthalmus pectinirostris (great blue-spotted mudskipper)
Lineage: Eukaryota; Metazoa; Chordata; Actinopteri; Gobiiformes; Gobiidae
Exons: 7
Source: RefSeq, a predicted model, not a curated record
CACACACACACGCACACGGUCAGGAGAGGAGGAGAGGUUGGACUUUUAGUGUAAGAAUAAAUCAUUUUAAUAUUAAUAAAUCACAUAUGUGUAUGAGAGAACAUUUUCCUCCUAUUACUGUGCCUGUUUGAAAAAUAAAUAAAUGUUUGUUUGUUUUUUUCAGCCUGAGAUAUGAGAGAGGCGUGACAAGUGGCACCUGAGAAAGGAAGGAAAUGAUAUAUGUGUGACUUUGUGCAGCUGAAAAGUGUUCGCAGUCAGUCAGAACCCAAAAGUGUCAAGGACAUCAGUUGAACAUGAACAUGUGUUCACUAUUGAUGCUGUUUGUUGUGUUGUGCCAUGGAAGACUAUUAUUCAGCAAAACAGAGACUAAAGUGAUUGAAGCAACAGAAGGACACAAUUUUACAGCCCAAUGUUUACUUUAUUUCAAUGGAAACAAAAAAAUCUUCUGUCAAAAUGACUGUAAAGGGAAAGAAGACACUUUGGUUGAGACUGCAAACAACCGACUGCAGAAUGGAAGAUACGGCAUUGAAGUUAUCAAAGGAUCUCACACGCAAUUACUACAAUUAAAUGUGAUCAUCACAAACGUGAGAAGAUCUGAUGCUGGGUCAUACACAUGUGGUCUGGAACAUGGAGAGAUUUCAACAUUUAUAUUAAAAGUCAUCAGUGAUUCAUACAGAAGACUUCAAAUGUAUGAUGCAAAAUGUAUGGAAUUAUCAAACAAAGAAACAAAAGUGAAAUAACUCAACUAAAUAUUUGUAUAUUUUAUAUUCAAAUUCCUCAAAGUAACCACCCUUUGCUUUGUUGACAGAGCUGCAAACUCUUGGCCUUUUCCCAGUAACAGAGAAAUAAAGUUACUUGAAAUGUUUUUUACUUCACAGGUGAACCAGGGUCAGGGUCAAGGAACACCAAUUGUCAAAAGCUGUGAUAAAAGCAAAGGUGGAAACCCCAACACCAGGUUUGACCCUCGGAGCUGCUCCCACCACAUCCCUCCAUAAUGUGACACCAGCACAGACGACACAAAGGACACAAGAAGCAUCUGAAGUGACGAGCUCACAGCAACCUCAGGAGGAGCACAACUCAUCCACACUGUCUGUUGUGCUGCAGUAUGUUGCUGUGAGUGUAACCACCAUUCUGAUUAUUGUAUCAGGGAGUAUUUUUGAUUUGGUGCUGGAAAAAGAAAACCAAUAGACCAACAGAAGAUCCAACUGCUGCUGAUGACUGUGAAAUUCCAGAGAUGAGCAGACUGUAUGAGGAGAUCCCAGCUCAGAUCACACCAGGUCCUGUGGAAAACUGUACUUCUUUUUCUUCCUCCCACCAGAAAACCACACAGACGGUCUAUAUCUUGGCCUCCAGUGCACAAGAACAGGGUAAGAAACUGAAGUGUUACCCACAACACUAAAGUGUAUUUCACAGAUCAGACUACUUACUGUAUUUUUUCAGACUAUAAAUUGCUCUGGAAUGUAAGUCACACCAGCUAAAAAAUGCGUAAUGAAGAAGAAGAAAAAAAAAAAACAUAUAAGUUGCACUUUUUUGGGGAAAUUUAUUUAAUGAAAUCAGAGACCAGGAACCGAUAUUUCAUCUUGAAAGCCAAGUUGUAGUAAUAACAACAGAACAGAGAACAACAGACUGUUAACGUCACAUAUGAACAGUUCUUCACAUAAACUAUAACAUAAACAACAGAACAGAACAAGUUUACCAAACUCUCCAUCUCACUCCAAAUCACUAAAUCCAUUUAAUUCUUCAUCCUCGGUGUCACUUCUGAACAACUCUGUGACCUCUGGAGGUAAACAGAGCGUCGCUUCCUCUUCUGUGUCGCUGUCGUCAGACUCAGCAUCAGUUCCAGUUAGAAUUAUUCGGGUCUUUCUGAAUCCCGACAGGAUGGUUUCAGUGUCACUGAAGUUCAGACAUUGUCCAUCCAUCCAGUGACUUGAGGAAAGUUUCAUGUUACAUCCUCCCGGUGUCACAAGUUUCUUACUGACUCCAAACUUUCUUUCUGCUGCUCAAUUGCCAUUUUUGGCUGCAGAUUUUGCUACUUGCAGUUUGUAAUCUGCAAAAUAUGAUUUUCUUUUUGGGGGCAUUUGUGUUCAGUUUUCUCAGUCGUCUUUUUGUUUAAAUGUUAAAUUGUUCAGUGGUGCAGAAGUAAUGGUGUGAUCGACUGACAUGAUACAGACAGAACAGAGGCUCUUUCUGCAGGAGACAUGUGCAGUAGAGUGAAGUGACAGUGGUACAGGAGGAACAGGAGCAGCAGAUACUCACACACAAGACUAGAACCUCUUGCAACUGUCAGUAUGAAAAUAUUCAUUUAUAAGUCGCACCGGAGUAUAAAUUGCAGGACCACCCAAACCAUGAAAAGAGUGAGCUUACUGUACAGUCCGAAAAAUAUGGUAUUUAUUUCAUAGCUGUU